CUCCGUGCCAGCAGCCGCGGUAAUACGGAGGGUGCAAGCGUUAAUCGGAAUUACUGGGCGUAAAGCGCGCGUAGGCGGCUUGAUAAGCCGGUUGUGAAAGCCCCGGGCUCAACCUGGGAACGGCAUCCGGAACUGUCAGGCUAGAGUGCAGGAGAGGAAGGUAGAAUUCCCGGUGUAGCGGUGAAAUGCGUAGAGAUCGGGAGGAAUACCAGUGGCGAAGGCGGCCUUCUGGACUGACACUGACGCUGAGGUGCGAAAGCGUGGGUAGCAAACAGGAUUAGAUACCCUGGUAGUCCACGCCGUAAACGAUGUCGACUAGCCGUUGGGGUCCUCGAGACCUUUGUGGCGCAGUUAACGCGAUAAGUCGACCGCCUGGGGAGUACGGCCGCAAGGUUAAAACUCAAAUGAAUUGACGGGGGCCCGCACAAGCGGUGGAGCAUGUGGUUUAAUUCGAUGCAACGCGAAGAACCUUACCUACUCUUGACAUCGAGCGAACUUUCCAGAGAUGGAUUGGUGCCUUCGGGAACGCUCAGACAGGUGCUGCAUGGCCGUCGUCAGCUCGUGUUGUGAAAUGUUGGGUUAAGUCCCGUAACGAGCGCAACCCUUGUCCCUAUUUGCCAGCGAUUCGGUCGGGAACUCUAGGGAGACUGCCGGUGACAAACCGGAGGAAGGUGGGGACGACGUCAGGUCAUCAUGGCCCUUACGAGUAGGGCUACACACGUGCUACAAUGGCCGGUACAAUGGGCUGCAAUCCCGCGAGGGGGAGCUAAUCUCAUAAAGCCGGUCUCAGUCCGGAUCGGAGUCUGCAACUCGACUCCGUGAAGUCGGAAUCGCUAGUAAUCGUGCAUCAGAAUGGCACGGUGAAUACGUUCCCGGGCCUUGUACACACCGCCCGUCACACCAUGGGAGUGGACUGCACCAGAAGUGGUUAGCCUAACUUCGGAGGGCGA
RNAcentral lists this ribosomal RNA (950 nucleotides) under Halomonas sp. JSM 114089. Its description in RNAcentral is "bacterial SSU rRNA". It matches the Rfam family "Bacterial small subunit ribosomal RNA", at positions 501 to 1453 of the family's 1533-position model. The record is from RNAcentral. Lineage: Bacteria; Pseudomonadati; Pseudomonadota; Gammaproteobacteria; Oceanospirillales; Halomonadaceae.